Non-coding RNA from Coturnix japonica (Japanese quail), 4851 nucleotides. Lineage: Eukaryota; Metazoa; Chordata; Aves; Galliformes; Phasianidae. The record is from RefSeq and is a predicted model, not a curated record.
UCAACACCUAGCAAGAGAAAUAAAGGGAAUACAGAUUAAUGGGCAGCAGCUGUAUUUUUGUUCUGCUUUAAGCCGUCUCACACGCUGUUUUAUUAGGAGAUGCUGCCCACAAAGCAAAAGCCUCCUCUUUCAUGUGCCUGACAAACAGAAACACUGCUGGGUUCCAGGAGCUGUUGGGGAAGAUGGACUUUGGCCAGCAAAAAUAAUAGCUAUACAGAUAUCAGCUAUGGAGAAGAAAUGAACACGCUGUUCUCUCCAGGCUCUAACGUAUGGCAAACAAGACCUUAUGACAGGGUGAGCCCGCAGCACUGUCCUGCUGCUAAUCAGAGCGUACGAUGUGAGUCAGGACGGCAGAAUCUCCCUGGGUGGUGUCUGCUCAUCUUCUGGUGACACAUUGUCUGCCUGAGUGUCCUGGGGACCACGAUGCCCAAGGGAAAGCUCAAGGCAUCCCAUCCCUAUGGAAGGAGGCUUCGCCAUCUCCAUCUCCUCCACUGAAGGCAGCAUUGCAGCACAGCUGAGCGGUGGCUCACCCUGUACCACACUGCUCGUCUGUCUUAGGCCCAAGAUAGAAGAUAAAUUUCCCCAACCCCCUUUCUGUGUAUUAAUUGCAAGGCAACAGCCCUUCCUCCAUUUGGGAUCCAGUUCAAGAAAGCACUUAGGCAGCCACUUUACAACGCCAAUGGCUUUCAGGGGACUUCAGCAAACUAUUUCAAUCAAAUCUAUGCAAAACCUCAAGCUCUCAUCACCCCCUCACCCAAAAACCAGAUACCACCAGCAACAAGCAAAGCUUUUCUCAAUGGUUUGGGUGCAUUGCUCCAGGCAGUGCACGGCAGUGUUGGAGCAGCCUGCAGCCCCACAGCACUCACUCUGGAAUUCCUGCACCACGGGUUUGGUGUUGCUGGAUGUCAGCUCCACAGCCAAGAGUCUGUAGCCUGGAAAAAUAAACAGAAGAGAAUAAGAAAUAGCACAGCUCAUAAUUCACCCUGCUAGAAGCACAUCGCAUGUUGGGAAUAGCUCUCCUCCAGCUCCAAGGCCUGACUUCCCGACAUAGAAGCUGUUCCGCGCUACCCAUGGCAGUCCAGCAUGACGAAGUUUAUUUAGGAGCUGUGGUGUAAAUACAGGAAAACAUAAUUGUUAGAAGCAGCAAUUAAAGAGGGUGAUUAGCAUAACGGCACAAAGCCAGUGCCAACACAAGCCACCUCCCUGUGCUUCACACUUAGGUAAUAAUGGGAGGGAAAGGGACAUAUGACAGAGGUUCCUUAAAGGAAACUCGAUGUUCCUGUGUUUUUUUUCUUGUUCUUGUUUACAAGAGAUCAUUUUUCAGAUAAGAGAAAUACGCCCCACCAAAUAGAUAAGAGUCUGACUGAAGAACUUCUGGUCUUUGAAGGUCCCUUCUAACUGAGCCAUUCCAUUCUAUUCUCCCAUAGCCACAACACAGCUGGAAGCAGAGAUGACAUUACCACGAUCUCACAUCAUUCUAAAGAAUUGAAGGCUCCAGCAGCUCUUUUCCAUGAGACAGGGACUCCAUCAGACUCUGCCCCAUCUCAAUUCUCAGAGGUUAUUCCCAGCAGCAUCCUUCCUUUCCCACCCAUUAAACACAAGAGCAUUCAGGUCUAUCCCUCAGGCACAAAGCAGGAUGGCAAUGAAUUUGAGGCAGAAGCUGAGUCCUUGGGGGCUGUGCAAGAGCCUCACAUUAUUACACGUAUUGACUGCGGGCAGAGAUCAACGUGGCUGCUUCAAUCACCUCUAAGCCACAUUUAUUCUUCUGUGCAUGGCACAGGCACGCUCUAAAUAACGAGAUGCCUACAGCUGCGUGGCACAGAACUCCCCAGUGAGCACACAGACUGUAAAGCAGGAGCAAAACAUCUUUACAGCUCUUCUCAGCAUCACUUGGAGGUAUCCCUUUCACACCGGUCUCUGUAGGGCUGGAGCAAUUUAACACAGGCAUUGCUUCCCAGCUGCCAGCACCGUGCAGCAUCUGCACUGUGUCUCAUAGCUCUGCUGUUGGCCUCGUCUCUUUGGUGACUGUGCUCGUGCACCCGCUUUGCGUUACAUCAUCCUCAUAGGGGCAGCUGUCACCCUUAAAAAGUUUGAUCUGAAGAUGUUCCUUCAGGCAUCUACGGGCCCAGUGCAAAGCAAGCAGCGAAAGCUCUGUGUUAUGUAAAUCCCACUUGAAAGGUCUCAGCACCCAGACUGUGCAGGAGAAGGCAUGCACUCCUUCCCAGAGCAGCAUGCAUGCCACAACAGAGGCACCCACCAGAUCUGUAUGUACUGUGGGCUCAGCCAGACAUAUGGUUGAAUCCCAAAUGCCAUCAGCUCUCCAAAUAGACUUCAGUGCCUCGUCCUGGAUUUUACAGCGUAUUCUUAUGGAGCUUCUUUUAGCUGAAGGGAGCCAGCCCAUGCAUGUUGCUGUGACUCAUGGUAUCUGAAUCACUUCAAAACGCUGCUCUGAACCUACAGAAGAAAUAAACUAGCGGCUUUAUAGACAACUGGGCUGUGUUAAGCCUCCCGUCUCUGGCUUAAUGCAAAGCCUGACCUUUUUGUCUCCAUCCACCCCAACCUUUUAUCUGCUUAAAAAUUCAAGGCAGAAAUUUGAAGAGGAGCUAAAAUAUCCCUUACGUUGGACAGGCAACGUCAAAAGGAUGGCCAGGAAAACACCAAGUUGCUGCCAAAGAGGCUGCGCUGCAGCAAAGCACAGCCCUGUGCCAACGGUGCAGUUAUCUGAUACGGUAAUUGAAGUUAAUGCACUGUUAGGCACAAGCAGUAGGAAAACAUGCAGCUGUAUUUCAACACCCACCCACUGGAGAAACGAAAAUACGCCUUUCUUGAGGUGUCCAUCAGCCCUCCAUUUGCAAUUCAAAACGCAUCGUCUAAGCCAUGUGGGAAUGCUGCAAUAAGCCACACGCCUUGUUAAGCAUCUCUGCUUUUCUGGAUGGCAGGAAUGCCAUGAAGGUGAGAGAUUGGUAGGUGUUAGAAACCCAUCAGCCCAACGCUUUGUGUGUCAGCACUAACAGCACCCAGAGAUGGAGUGAAGGGAGCAGUAGUGAGGGUACAUCACAGAGGUGAUGGGGGCAGUGGGUGUGAGACAAGCCCAGCUGACCCCAGCACUGUCCCUGCGUUGGAUGUGCUGUGCAGGAAGGGAAAUAGCUGUUCUAUUUGUGAGAAACCCCCAGAGGGACAGCAAAGGAAGCCCGCAGUGCUGGGCUGAGCUGGAUAAGAGGAGGAAGAAGGAGGCCAGGCUCUGCGUGCUGCUUGCUCUGAGGAAAUGGCAGAAAACUGAAGAAACAUCUGACCUCCUGCACCACAAAACAUCCAUCCCUUUUUCUCUUUUCAGGCUCUUUUUCCUCUUCUCUGUCCCCAGUGCAUCUCACUCCUGAUCCACAACUCAACCUGUGCCAGCGCAGCCAAGGUGGGGCAGGAUGGGUGAUAGAAUGUGUUAUACGAAUGAGACCCCAAAAGAUCAUAGAGUCCUCAUCAGGGUGUCUCACUGCCUUUCUCAGUGAUGGUUCCUUUACAUCUGCUUUCAGCCCCUGCCUCCAGACCAUGAGGAGCUGGUGGUCCAUCAUGUGCUGAUGAGGCUCUUUGUGAGAGCAAAGUCUGCACUGAGGAUGGCUGGGGAAGCAUCCAGACAGAGCUGCAUGCCCUUCUUAUACCACAGCUCUCAAUGUGUAGAACAAAACCUUAACCUGUUUAAAUCACUUAAACCAUCACCUUCAAGACCUGACUGUAUUUGCUACAGACGAGGCCCAUUGGCAUCCAAACCAUGCACACCAUCUUUCAUUUUUUCCCCUUCCCUUCUUGUACAAGAGGAUUUACUGUUCCACCUCCUCACCAGACAACAAAACCAUUGGUACACAGCCAGCCUACGCAACCACACUCAGUUGUGAAACAAGUUGUUAGCAAGCAGAUACAGAACCCUGUUAAGACAAAAGCUUCUCAAAGCAGCCUCCUUCUGCAGAUAACCCUUCCUCCUCUCUCCCAUGCAGGGAAGGAAGCUCAGCCAUUUGCCCGAUGAACCACGUGGUGCUUUCUGAUCAUCUCCCAAGAUCUGGUUUCGUUGUGCUGGGUUGCAGUUGCAGACACGCUGCCUCCAACAUCCAUCUGACAAGGGCUUCUGGAGGGAAGAAUUUCACAAUCCUUGGUUGUGGCUCUGCUCAAGGCAGCACAGCAUGUUUACAGGUGAGAUAUUAAGGCCUUGCAUCCCUCUGCACUUGCACAACAAAACAGCCUAUUCUCACCACCAGGUUUGCUCACCAUCAGAUUUGGAUCUGCAAAUCCAGAGGCCCAUGCCAGGAGGAGGCAUCACGAGCCACAUGCCAGAGCUGUCUCAACAGGUAGGUUUCAAGCUUACUAACACCUUAGCACACACAUGAACCCUUGGCUGGGCAUGUUGAGCUUGGAUAUUAUCUACCAGUAGGUUCUUGUGCUCUCUUCUCCCUAAGAGAGCAUGGAUGCUUUAGGAGAAGCAGCAAUGAACCAGGUUGGCAACCUGCUGAGAUUCCCGUUGGCAGAGCUUCCCCAUGACCACUUUCAUCUGUUACUGGGUUUUACAUUCAUCAGUUAAUCUUUGGUCUUCCCAGAUGCAGUGUCCCCUCCAACUCAGCCCCAUUUCACUGGAGGAAGACGAUGAGUAAGGAAUACAGUAUAUCAGCAUGCAAAGGAUGUAUGACUGUGAGAUCUGGAAGAAUGCCUUACAGCAGCGAAAUUAAAGGCUGGGAACAAAAACGCACCUCCAAAGGAAACAGUGGAAACCUUUUGUUCGUAAAAGUCACAACUAAAAUCGGACUGGAUAAAGCUUAAGGAAAUACCUCUCAGAGGACAACCCUGCCUUGGCUGCUGGAAACAGAUGAG